GUCGUAACAAGGUUUCCGUAGGUGAACCUGCGGAAGGAUCAUUAAAUAAUUUGAGUAUGCUUAUGCAUAUUUCUAAUUUACUGUGAACUGUUUUACUGUUUAGCGUUUUGAGGGAUUGCCUAAAGAUUAUAGGGAUAGGUCUUUAGGAUGUUAACCUAGCUAAAGUCAGGCUUAGGCCUGGUAUCCUAAUUCAUUAUUUACCAAAAGAAUUCAGAAUUAAUAUUGUAACAUAAGCGUAAAAAACUUAUAAAACAACUUUUAACAACGGAUCUCUUGGUUCUCGCAUCGAUGAAGAACGUAGCAAAGUGCGAUAACUAGUGUGAAUUGCAUAUUCAGUGAAUCAUCGAGUCUUUGAACGCAUCUUGCGCUCAAUGGUAUUCCAUUGAGCACGCCUGUUUCAGUAUCAACAACAACCCACAUCCACAAUUUUGUUGUGAAUGGAAGUGAGAAUUUCGGACUUGCGCUGAAUUCUUUAAAAUUAUUAGGCCUGAACUAUUGUUCUUUUAGCCUGAACAUUUUUUUAAUAUAAAGGAAUGCUCUAGUUAUUAAGACUGUCUUGGGGGCCUCCCAAAUAAAUCAUUUUUUAAACUCGAUCUGAAAUCAGGUGGGAUUACCCGCUGAACUUAAGC
RNAcentral lists this ribosomal RNA (629 nucleotides) under uncultured fungus. RNAcentral describes it as "eukaryotic LSU rRNA". The stretch from base 254 to 406 matches the Rfam family "5.8S ribosomal RNA". Lineage: Eukaryota; Fungi. The record is from RNAcentral.